UAACAGGUUAAGCUGAGGACUCUAUUUCAACUGCCUGCGCAAGCAGAGAGGAAGGAGGGGACGACGUCAAGUCAUCAUGGCCCUUACGUCCAGGGCUACACACGUGCUACAAUGGCGUGUACAGAGUGUUGCGAGGCAGUGAUGCCAAGCCAAUCACUAAAAGCACGUCACAGUUCGGAUUGCAGGCUGCAACUCGCCUGUAUGAAGCUGGAAUCGCUAGUAAUCGCGCAUCAGCAAUGGCGCGGUGAAUACGUUCCCGGACCUUGUACACACCGCCCGUCAAGCCAUGGAAGUCGGGGAGACCUAAAGCGGAAGGUAACAUACUUCGUUAGGGUAAAUCUGGUAACUGGGGCUAAGUCGUAACAAGGUAGCCGUACCGGAAGGUGU
This 387-nucleotide ribosomal RNA is filed under the name uncultured bacterium glc13. RNAcentral describes it as "bacterial SSU rRNA". It matches the Rfam family "Bacterial small subunit ribosomal RNA", at positions 1119 to 1515 of the family's 1533-position model. The record is from RNAcentral.